GUUUAGACUCGUAGCAUAUAGCUCAGUAACACGUGGCCAAACUACCCUACAGACCGCGAUAACCUCGGGAAACUGAGGCCAAUAGCGGAUAUAACUCUCAUGCUGGAGUGUCGAGAGUUAGAAACGUUCCGGCGCUGUAGGAUGUGGCUGCGGCCGAUUAGGUAGAUGGUGGGGUAACGGCCCACCAUGCCGAUAAUCGGUACAGGUUGUGAGAGCAAGAGCCUGGAGACGGUAUCUGAGACAAGAUACCGGGCCCUACGGGGCGCAGCAGGCGCGAAACCUUUACACUGCACGACAGUGCGAUAGGGGGACUCCGAGUGUGAGGGCAUAUAGCCCUCGCUUUUCUGUACCGUAAGGUGGUACAGGAACAAGGACUGGGCAAGACCGGUGCCAGCCGCCGCGGUAAUACCGGCAGUCCAAGUGAUGGCCGAUAUUAUUGGGCCUAAAGCGUCCGUAGCUUGCUGUGUAAGUCCAUUGGGAAAUCGACCAGCUCAACUGGUCGGCGUCCGGUGGAAACUACACAGCUUGGGGCCGAAAGACUCAACGGGUACGUCCGGGGUAGGAGUGAAAUCCUGUAAUCCUGGACGGACCACCAAUGGGGAAACCACGUUGAGAGAACGGACCCGACAGUGAGGGACGAAAGCCAGGGUCUCGAACCGGAUUAGAUACCCGGGUAGUCCUGGCUGUAAACAAUGCUCGCUAGGUAUGUCACGCGCCAUGAGC
Molecule: ribosomal RNA, 723 nt
Filed under: Haloarcula sp. A002
Lineage: Archaea; Methanobacteriati; Methanobacteriota; Halobacteria; Halobacteriales; Haloarculaceae
Description: bacterial SSU rRNA
Rfam family: Archaeal small subunit ribosomal RNA
Source: RNAcentral